This 497-nucleotide ribosomal RNA is filed under the name uncultured bacterium. RNAcentral's name for it is "partial 16S ribosomal RNA". It matches the Rfam family "Bacterial small subunit ribosomal RNA", at positions 28 to 507 of the family's 1533-position model. The record is from RNAcentral.
GAUGAACGCUGGCGGCGUGCCUAAUACAUGCAAGUCGAGCGAACGGACGAGAAGCUUGCUUCUCUGAUGUUAGCGGCGGACGGGUGAGUAACACGUGGAUAACCUACCUAUAAGACUGGGAUAACUUCGGGAAACCGGAGCUAAUACCGGAUGAUAUUUUGAAUCGCAUGGUUCAAAAGUGAAAGACGGUCUUGCUGUCACUUAUAGAUGGAUCCGCGCUGCAUUAGCUAGUUGGUAAGGUAAAGGCUUACCAAGGCAACGAUGCAUAGCCGACCUGAGAGGGUGAUCGGCCACACUGGAACUGAGACACGGUCCAGACUCCUACGGGAGGCAGCAGUAGGGAAUCUGCCGCAAUGGGCGAAAGCCUGACGGAGCAACGCCGCGUGAGUGAUGAAGGUCUUCGGAUCGUAAAACUCUGUUAUUAGGGAAGAACAUAUGUGUAAGUAACUGUGCACAUCUUGACGGUAACUAAUCAGAAAGCCACGGCUAACUACGUG